Molecule: transfer RNA, 73 nt
Filed under: Ictidomys tridecemlineatus (thirteen-lined ground squirrel)
Lineage: Eukaryota; Metazoa; Chordata; Mammalia; Rodentia; Sciuridae
Description: Spermophilus tridecemlineatus (thirteen-lined ground squirrel) tRNA
Rfam family: tRNA
About the family: Transfer RNA (tRNA) molecules are approximately 80 nucleotides in length. Their secondary structure includes four short double-helical elements and three loops (D, anti-codon, and T loops).
Source: Rfam by way of RNAcentral
GGGGAUAUGGCUCAGUGGUAGAGCACUUGCCUAGCAUGCAUGAAGCACCUGGGUUCGAUCCCCAGCACCACUU